Small nuclear RNA from Schistosoma mansoni, 163 nucleotides. It matches the Rfam family "U1 spliceosomal RNA". From Rfam's summary of the family: U1 is a small nuclear RNA (snRNA) component of the spliceosome (involved in pre-mRNA splicing). Its 5' end forms complementary base pairs with the 5' splice junction, thus defining the 5' donor site of an intron. There are significant differences in sequence and secondary structure between metazoan and yeast U1 snRNAs, the latter being much longer (568 nucleotides as compared to 164 nucleotides in human). The record is from Rfam. Lineage: Eukaryota; Metazoa; Platyhelminthes; Trematoda; Strigeidida; Schistosomatidae.
AUAACCACUUGGCGCCGGGUUCAGGGUGAUCAGGAAUGCUCUUACCCCGGGUGGAGGCUCACCAUUGCACUUCAGUGGGUUGAAACUCGCGACGAACCCUAAUCGGGUGCGCUCGGGCGUGUAGUUUUACACAUAACAACUACAUAUUAAUCUAUGGGUUUUA